Long non-coding RNA from Salvator merianae (Argentine black and white tegu), 1908 nucleotides. Lineage: Eukaryota; Metazoa; Chordata; Lepidosauria; Squamata; Teiidae. The record is from Ensembl.
ACAGGUUCUGCCUGUACUCAGGGCAUUUCCACAGAUAAAGAGUGGCUGGUGGAAUUUUGGGGGCCUUUUGCUGCCUAUGCCACAUACCUGGAUUUUGCUUCAUUGAAAGACGACUUCCGAGGGGAAGAUUCCCUUGACCUUUUCUCAGCAAGUGCGUUGGCUCAGCUGUCCACCAAAAGUCACACCAUCUACAGCAGUUCAGCCAUGGCGCUCAUUUUCCAAACUAUCCGGAAAAAGGAAGACCCAGAGCAAUUUCUCAAGGCUUACCUGGAGGAGUUUAACCCCUUUGUGUUACAGGUAAACAAUGGUUUGCAUGACUGACUUGUCUCCUUUCCCAGACUUCUGCUCCACCAAACUUUCAAGAAUUUGGAUUAACAAUUCAUUUCUUUACAGGUGUAGCCUUUCAUGCUGUUUCUCAGGUUCAACAAAGUCUUUUCUCUUGCUUCUUUUUCCAGAACCGGAACCUGUUGAGCAAUACCAAAGUGCGAGACACCAUGCUGAUGUCAGCAGCAGAGAUCAUUUUUCCACAGAUUGCUGGUUUUUCCCUGGAAGACGCAAGCAGCUGGUUCCAGAAGCUCAACCUUCUUCUCCCAGGCAUUAAUGGGACAAUGCUUGAAUUGCUACCCAAUGAUAUGCCCUGCCCGUAUUACCAGACCAUUGUGAGAGCAUUGGAUGGUGUUCAUUCAGCACUGUCAGCCAGGAAGAAGAAGGCUGUGUACGACUUUCAAAAAGGUUAUUUGGCUGCCCAGUUUACAGAUUCUGGCUCAGCAUGUGAUGAUGGAACUACCGGAAUCCGAGACUGGCUGGUGAAAAAUUUGGGGGAGUUUUGCUCAGUGGCUAAACUAAGUGAACUUCAAGCUUUUUACCCAGAUCUAGAUGGAGUAAGUUUUUCUAGCCAGUGCUCUUAAGUAAGCAUUUCUGCACUUGGGCUUCUUUAGGCAAUGAGUCUACUUAGGGCCUCCUAACAGCCAGAUACUUUUAUUCCAAAAUAUUGCACUGCUAUGUGUCUUAAAGUUCUCCUCCAUUGUAUUUCUAAAGCUCUAGUUUGUAGUGUUAACAGGAGAAACCAUAUCAUAGUAUCUGAGUAUCAGCAGAGUCUUUCUGAAGUACGAUCUAAGCUACUACCUCACCUUGUUUAGAGUUGUGGUUUUUGAUUUGAUUGAUAAUGGGCUGUAGUCUUACCUCAGUAUUUAUGGUAUAGUAGAAUUCUUGGAGAAAAUUCUUAGCUACACAUCAGCCUAGCCUAGUUUUUAGCUAUACAUCGGGGAGGGGGCGUCUUUGAAGCACUAAAGAGAAAGUUGGAAAGCCAUGCUAGAUUCAGUGGUCCAUCUGGAAUCUAAUUUCUUCUAUCUGGAGGAAUCCAGGGUUAUGAGGGCCACAGUUAAUCACCACAAGUUCCACCUCGAUGCCAGGGCUGCUGAGGUCUGGGAUGGUUUAGCAAAUCCUGCAUUGAGCAGAGGGUUGGACUCAAUGACUCUCGAGGUCCCUUCUGACUCAAUUCUAUGAUUCUAUGAUUCUAUGAUUCUACGAUUCUAUGAAAUGUGGACCAUCACCAGGCAUUUCUGAGUUCCCAUCAUUCCGUGCCAAUGAGAGAUGACACAGAUUGAUGGGAGCUGUAGUUCAGAAACACCUGGAAGGCCACAGCUGAACAGCCCUGAUACAGUCCUUAACACAACAAUCCUGUCAAACCAAUCUUCCAUCUUGGAGCAAUGACAGAAGAAGUGGGUAGAGGUAAAAUCUUCUAAGUUACCCUUUGAGGAAAGGUGUUUUUCUUGCAUGGAUACUAUAUAAUGCUUAAUGAACAUGGAUAAAUACUAGUAGGGAACUAGGCUGUCACCCCAAUAGCAUUGCACCUGGAAAAACAUGGAGUUUCUGCUGGACAAUUCAAAUAGCUUCAUCUAAUGUAAC